Molecule: long non-coding RNA, 845 nt
Organism: Acanthopagrus latus (yellowfin seabream)
Lineage: Eukaryota; Metazoa; Chordata; Actinopteri; Spariformes; Sparidae
Exons: 3
Source: RefSeq, a predicted model, not a curated record
UGUAAACAUCUUGGCCGGAGAAGACAGGUGGUUUGAAAGAGGAGUAAAGGAAUCCAUCUACAUCAAAUUGGAACGACCAUCUUUGAACAGAGAAGGUGGCCUAAGACAUUACUUAUCACCCACUAACAAUACUGUACUGAGUUCUCUCUCCAGACAGCUUAACAACCAUCCACACCUGGGCUCAGCUAGACUAUGAAAACCCACAUGAAAGCCGGUUUGACCAACGACUCUGAACCCAAGUGUUAAUCAUCAGAGUGGCUUUUUAGUGAUGGCGACAACUGAAGGAGUCAAGUGGCCUGAACACGGAUGUCAUGUUAGCAUUUUUGCUAUCGGACAGUUGGAGAGGGAUGCAUCGACUUCCACCCUUUGAAGGGUCAGUUCACUACAGAACCAUGUCCUGCUGUUUCCACUAUGUCUGCAGAGCAUCUCUCUGACAGGACAACCACUGCUAAAACCUGAGAAGAUUGAGACAGCGUCAACAUCGGCAGCUUGACCUGUUGGCCAACACUGACCUGUGUUUAUCAUCAGUCAAGAAACCUCUGGACGUGCUUCCUGCAUAUAGAUGUUUAUGCUAAUUGUACUGUAUAGUGUCUAAACAAUAAAAGAUACACUAUUUUUGUUGUUAUGUAUUUAUAUUUACAUAUGACCAAUAAGAAAGUGUUUAUUAUGUGUAAACUGCUCCAACUUUUCACAUAGAGCCCCUUUAAUACUGAUUUCUAGGUGUUUCUGAUCACUGUGAUAAUACUGAUGAUGAGGAUGUCCAUGUGACCCCAAACAUGGAUUGGAAUAAUUUUGCUGAUUCUUUGACAUUUAAUUUUGCACCAUUAUCAAGUCAAUAAAGUAAA